GACUUUAAAAAUCGUGAGGGUUCAAGUCCCUCUAUCCCCA
RNAcentral lists this transfer RNA (40 nucleotides) under Cuscuta lehmanniana. Its description in RNAcentral is "partial tRNA-Leu". The record is from RNAcentral. Lineage: Eukaryota; Viridiplantae; Streptophyta; Magnoliopsida; Solanales; Convolvulaceae. RNAcentral also lists the same sequence under 2 other names.